UACAGAGGUCUCAAGCGUUGUUCGGAUUCAUUGGGCGUAAAGCGCGCGUAGGUGGCCUCAUAAGUCCGCUGUGAAAGUCAAAGGCUCAACCUUUGAAAGCCGGUGGAUACUGUGGGGCUAGAGUACGGAAGAGGCGAGUGGAAUUCCUGGUGUAGCGGUGGAAUGCGCAGAUAUCAGGAGGAACACCAAUAGCGAAGGCAGCUCGCUGGGACGUUACUGACACUGAGGCGCGAAAGCGUGGGGAGCGAACAGG
RNAcentral lists this ribosomal RNA (253 nucleotides) under uncultured bacterium. RNAcentral's name for it is "partial 16S ribosomal RNA". It matches the Rfam family "Bacterial small subunit ribosomal RNA", at positions 524 to 776 of the family's 1533-position model. The record is from RNAcentral.